Long non-coding RNA from Capsicum annuum, 1384 nucleotides. RefSeq lists it as uncharacterized. The transcript is spliced from 6 exons. NCBI's taxonomy places the organism in Eukaryota, Viridiplantae, Streptophyta, Magnoliopsida, Solanales, Solanaceae. The record is from RefSeq and is a predicted model, not a curated record.
AAUUUAAUUUAUUUUAUGGCGAUUUUGAGUUAUACUGUGAGAGUUUUUAAAACCCUCAAAUAUUAUUGUGUUAUUGCUAAAAUAUUUAAUUACCUUAUUUUAUUUUUAAUCUUUUCGUACCAAAAAAGAACGCGGAAAAUUCUCCCUCUUUUUUUUCAUUUUAGUAAAUUUCUACCUCUUCUGAUUUCAAUUUCUAGGUUUUCUCAUUUAACUGUAGCUAAGCAGCACUCUUCUCUCAACUCAAUAUCAUGAAAUUGAGAAAAGUAAGCUAAAGGAAAAGUUUCUCUCUAUAUUCUUGUCGAACCUCAAAAACCAAAAGACCCUUGACGAGCCUCGAUUUUUUUUAGGACUACGGAAGCCAUCACAUACAAAUCUUAUACUUCUAGCAUUGGGAAGAAAUGGGCUACACGUAGACUAAGGGCGUAUGAUGAAUUUGAUGAUCCAGCCAAAAGUAUUAAUGAAUUGUUAAAUAAUGUGACAAAAGGUAUAAAAAAAGAUCAGUGGGCUAGUCAUAUUGCUUAUCGUAAAAGACCAUCAACAAUUGCGCUUCGCAAAAGAAAUAAAGAAAUCUGAAGCAAGCAAGAAAUUCCACACACUGGAGGCUCAAAAUCAUUGGCAAGAAGACGACAUGAGAUACAGGAGUAAAACCUAGUCGGGGACAAAUGUUUCUCGAAACUCAUAAAAGAAAAACGGAUCAUUUGUAAAUGAAGAGACAAGAAUUAUAGGGGAAUAAAUUGAGCCACAUGUGACUCAAUGUAAUGAAUCUGAAGCUUCCCCUAGUGAUAUUAUUGGCAAGUUGUUUGGGGAAGAGCACUCAGGAAGGGUACGAUGUUUAGGUAUGGGAGCAGUUCCUUCAAACACAUUCAGGAAUACCAAACAACUCCUUAGUAAUCUGAAUGUUUCCUCAUCUAAUGUUGAUGUGUCAUCCUCAACUGAUACCUAUUUGCACCAAAAGGUCUCUCGUUUAGAGUACCAAUUAGAAGGAGCUUUGUACACUUUGAAGAGUUACAUGAUAUCAAAGGAAGGAAGUGUUCCUGAUGAAUUUAUUGGAUUAUUUACGCCUCAACUAUAGGUAAGAAGUAAGUGUACAUCUAAGUAGAUGAUUAUUAAUAGAUUUUUCAUCAAAUAUUUAUUUCUUUAUUUCAACCGAAUGAUGUUGAGAGCGAGCCUACUUCACCAGUGGAUAUAAGCGGAUCAACAAGUGGCAACGAAACUAAUCGUCUACAAAGUACUUAAUUUUUAUGUUGUUUAAAUUAUGGAAUCACUUUUGUGGAUUUAUAUUACUCUACUGUUUUACAAAUAGUGAGUUAAAUUUUGAAAUGUGGUAUUUGAAUUUAUGUGAACUGUAGUUUGGGAUAUGGUAUUUGAAUUUAAGUUAACUGUA